This 453-nucleotide ribosomal RNA is filed under the name uncultured bacterium. RNAcentral's name for it is "bacterial SSU rRNA". It matches the Rfam family "Bacterial small subunit ribosomal RNA", at positions 29 to 526 of the family's 1533-position model. The record is from RNAcentral.
AGCGAACGCUGGCGGCAGGCUUAACACAUGCAAGUCGAGCGGGCCCUUCGGGGUCAGCGGCAGACGGGUGAGUAACGCGUGGGAACGUACCUUUCGGUUCGGAACAACUCCGGGAAACUGGAGCUAAUACCGGAUACGCCCUUUUUGGGGAAAGAUUUAUUGCCGAGAGAUCGGCCCGCGUCUGAUUAGCUAGUUGGUGGGGUAACGGCCCACCAAGGCGACGAUCAGUAGCUGGUCUGAGAGGAUGAUCAGCCACACUGGGACUGAGACACGGCCCAGACUCCUACGGGAGGCAGCAGUGGGGAAUAUUGGACAAUGGGCGCAAGCCUGAUCCAGCCAUGCCGCGUGAGUGAUGAAGGCCUUAGGGUUGUAAAGCUCUUUCACCCACGACGAUAAUGACGGUAGUGGGAGAAGAAGCCCCGGCUAACUUCGUGCCAGCCGCCGCCGUAACAC